Molecule: ribosomal RNA, 230 nt
Filed under: uncultured bacterium
Lineage: Bacteria
Description: partial 16S ribosomal RNA
Rfam family: Bacterial small subunit ribosomal RNA
Source: RNAcentral
UAGGAAUCUACCUUAUAGUGGGGGAUAACCUGGGGAAACCCAGGCUAAUACCGCAUGUUUCUCAAGAGAUAAAGAAGGGGACCUUCGGGCCUUGCGCUAUAAGAUGAGCCUGCGUCGGAUUAGCUAGUUGGUGGGGUAAAGGCCUACCAGGGCGAUGAUCCGUAGCUGGUCUGAGAGGACGACCAGCCACACUGGGACUGAGACACGGCCCAGACUCCUACGGGAGGCAG